CAUUUUCACAAGCAGCGUCACACAUUUCGCCUCCAGGCAGUGGUCCCGCUGAAAACACUGCAAGCACGGGGACAACAGAGCUGAAGAUGCUGAAGCUUUUGCUUAUAUUGACCUUCGCUGAGAUUUGUGCAGCUCAAAAUGACAUCACUCUGUCAGUGUUCACGGUCACGUCUAAGAGUAUGACGGUGCAGUGGAGCGGCCUCAGCGGCGCCGGCUCCUACAGGAUCACAGCCACGCCCAAGUAUUCCUCCGUAAACCCCGUCUUCGCUCAGUUCGCGGGCAACACUGUGAUGGGAUCGCUCAACUCCCUGUCGCCUAACACCGUGUACACCGUGCAGUUGGAGGCCAUCGACAAUGCCUUCAAUGUGCUCAGCAGCGCCAAAACCGAGGAGACAACAGCUCCUGACAUCCCCAGCAUCACACAGGCCUACUCUAAGCAGAGCGACAGCAUCACCGUGGAGUUCACAGCCGUUUCCGGGGCGACCAGCUACAUCCUGCGGGCCGAGACCGACGACUUCUUCUCCGAGACCCCGGUGAGCGGCUCCCCGGGCACCGUGCUGGACCUGCAGCCCUACACCGACUACCAGCUCAGCGUCAUGUCGGUCAACGCGGGGGGCAGAAGUCAGCCCUCGGAGGUCGUCGGCGCCAAGACGGUGGUGCCCGGCCCCCGCAUCAACACCACGUCGCCCAGCAACGACUCCAUCCUGGUGACGUGGCUCCCCGUGGAGAACGCCGUCCUCUACACGCUCUGCAUCAUCAUGGAGGGCUCCAGCACGCGCCACAAGCUCAACACCACUGACACCGCCGUGACCUUCGGCGACCUCCAGGCCGGCGCCACCUACUGCAUCAAGGGCGCGGCGUGGGACGCCGAGGGUCGCACCGGGGACGACCUCACCGUCUGCCAGAUCACACGUCCUUCAAGCCCAAAUCUGAUAGACGUCCAGGUGACCCCGGGCCGGUCCCUGGGCAUCGUGGUGUACUGGGUGUCGGUGCAGGGGGCUGAGAACUACGUCGCCUCCACCUCCGGCGGGCAGAACUGCACCUCGGUGGACAACGCCUACUGUUACAUCAUGCCCGUGGAGUGCGGCAACAACCGCACCGUGUCGGUCACGGCGGUUAACGCGGCGGGGCCCAGCAGCCCCUCGCAGCCGGCCCCUUACAUCACAUACCCAUGUCUCCCAGGCAACAUCUGGGUGGAGGAGCCCACCCCGGGCAACUGCUCGCUGCGGUGGGACGACGUGCAGCUGGUGGAGUACUACAUGGCCUUCAUAAAGCGGGACGACGGCACCGAGAGGUCGUGCAACACCACCAGGACCACCUGCGACUUCUUCUGCGCCUGCGGCUACACCUACCUCGUCACCGUCUUCCCCUACAACCAGGCCGGCUCCAGUCCUUACGCCAACGUGCAGAACUACACCACAAUCCCCUGUUGUCCGCAGGGCGUUGCCACACAGCUGGUUUCCACGGACACGCUGGAGGUCACGUGGCUCCCGGUCAAAGGGGCCGAGCUGUACGAGACCAGGGCGGCGCGGGGCGCCGAGGUCGUCCGCUGCAGCGACACGUCGCCCGCGUGCGUGCUGUCGGACCUGAGGUGCGACGCGGUCUACUCCGUGACGGUCACGCCGUGCAGCGAGCUGCGGGGCUGCAACCUCACCUGCCCGUCCGGCGCCAGCGAGACAGCCCCCUGCGCCCCGGAGAUCUUGAACAUGACGCAGACCAACAGCUCCGCGUACAGGGUCUUCAUCACCCGCCCCAACGCGGCCAACGCCACCUACACCGUCACCGCCGUCGGCCGCUACGACGCGCAGAUCUGCCAGACUGUCAGCAGCUGGUGUGACUUCGCACAGCUGCCCUGCGGCUCCAGCUACGAAGUGACGACGGUGGCCACGACAGCGGCGGGACGCAGUCUGCCCGGAUACAGUCAAACUCUAGAAACGGGUCCCUGUUGUCCUGCGUCUGUGAACGUGACCCAGGUCACCCAGGCUAUGACCAACGUGACCUGGGCCCCCGGCAGUGGCGCCCGCUCCUACGUCACCUCCCUGCUGUCCUCGCGGGGCUACGCCAAGUGCCACACGCUGGACACCCACUGCCUGAUGGGAUGCAUCACCUGCAGCACCAACUACAGCGUCGCCCUGGAAGCCAUCAGCAGCACCGGGCACAAGUCACAGUGCAAUUAUCAGGGCUUCUCGUCCAGUCCGUGCUGCCCUACAGGCAUCAAGCUCUACCGCGGGGCCAAUAACACUGUGAGGGUGUACUGGCGGCCUCUGGGCCCGCAGAUCAGCAGCUACGUAGUGGACCUGUACGGGUCAGGGGUCAACUACACGUGUACUGCAACAGGCGGCAUGAAAUACUGCGACAUCCAGGAGGACACGGCGAGGGAUGUCUACACAGCAGUGGUGGCACCAGUGGGGCAAAACGGGGUCAAAGUGACCUUCUGUCUGCCCAGGACGUUCUCAGGUGGGACAUUCUGUGAUGUGACCUCUGAUACGAGUAUCUAAUGUUUAAAUGUGUUCUUAUCAUGAUGAUUCCUUCUUUUUCCAGUCCCCUACCCAGGAACUAAUGCCAAUUCUGCCAUAUUGAUCUCGCGUCGAAGACGAAGUGUGGACUAAAUAUCAAGUGACCACCCACACGUCCACAGUAACCAGAUGAACUAAGGAGCAGCACCAGGGGCGACUGAAACACAAAUGAAAAUCACUUUUGUUGGGAAACAUUUAGAUCCAUUUACUUGUGUUGUACUGAUGUUAAAACAAUACAAGUUAUAAUAUAAAUAUUUCAAGACUUGUCAUGUAUUGCCAAUAAAAACUAUUCCCAGUCUCCCAUGUUUAAUCACUACAGUCACCCUUUAUUAAUGAUGCUUGUAAUGAUUGAGCAGUAAAUCCCUCACAGAAAAGAAUCACAGCAAUAAGCAAAAACAGAUUGUAGGAACGUGUCCAAGUAGAAGACCUCCAUGCGGCCGCUGUUUUGCUUGACUCCCGGUUGUAACUCGAGCUGUUUGGUGAAUUUUCACCAGAUAGUGGGGCAGCAUGUAACCAUCCCAUCGGCCUGGAGUCAUUCAGUAAGUGGCUGGUUCUGUGGACGGGUCUGCUCAGACUGAUGGAGAUACAGUAUGUUCAAUGUCGCCUAUGUUCACUGAAUUUCUGUCUCCAUGUUUGCAGACAACAUCA
This is an RNA transcript of Betta splendens (Siamese fighting fish), 3164 nucleotides long. It is a transcript of the gene named fibronectin type III domain containing 7a, with no coding region annotated. The transcript has 13 exons. The record is from RefSeq and is a predicted model, not a curated record. NCBI's taxonomy places the organism in Eukaryota, Metazoa, Chordata, Actinopteri, Anabantiformes, Osphronemidae.